AAUAACAAAGGUUAAACGCUUUCAAAGAUUAUAAGACUUUGAGAGUGAUAAAAUCAUGAUUGAAAAGGGGUAUGGAGAUGGGAACAAUCAUUUGUCAAAACUGCAACUCUACUAUCGGUCAUAUUGAGGUAGAAAAAGUGACAACAUUAUAUGGUAAAUGUAAUCAUCAUAAUUGCUGCAAAGAAGAUCAGAAAAUAAAUGUUGUCGAGGUCA
RNAcentral lists this small RNA (213 nucleotides) under Metabacillus litoralis. RNAcentral's name for it is "Bacillus litoralis SR1 sRNA". It matches the Rfam family "SR1 sRNA", at positions 1 to 187 of the family's 210-position model. Lineage: Bacteria; Bacillati; Bacillota; Bacilli; Caryophanales; Bacillaceae. The record is from Rfam by way of RNAcentral.